RNAcentral lists this ribosomal RNA (609 nucleotides) under Triticum aestivum (bread wheat). RNAcentral describes it as "partial small subunit ribosomal RNA". The record is from RNAcentral. Lineage: Eukaryota; Viridiplantae; Streptophyta; Magnoliopsida; Poales; Poaceae.
AUGACUAGGGAUAACCUUAGGAAGAGACACGUCAUCAAACCCCUUGAUUGUGUUUACUGCUUGGAACAAGAGUCUUGAUCUCACCUAUUUUUUGAAUGUAUAGUUGCUAAACAUCUCUUGGCCCACAUUGAGGAAUAUUUCUCUAGUCAGAUUGGCUCAUCCUUCGAAUCUGUCGCCAGAUUCUGGAUUGCUACCAAAAAGUGCUCAGUUUUAAACAUUGUUAGCUCAGCUGUCCUUUGGUGCCUCUGGAUAUAUAGAAAUGCUAUGAUUUUCAGUAACACCUCCUGGAUUUCCAUUCCGCAGGUCUUGAGGUUGAUCAGGGACAUGGUGAAGAACUGGGCGAUUCUCUCCUCCGGAUCGGACAAGGACAAGUUGAUGAGCUUCCUGGAAACCCUAACAAGAUCCCUCCAGAAACCGUUGGCGAUCACUUGUGGCGGAACAAGGCUCGACCUGCUGUGGGGCUGGACCCGUGGGCUCGUCUCAAGAUCUCUGAUGAAGAUGAUGGGCACCUGGCGCCAAAAAAGAGGGACAUCCACCAUGCUAUGCCUUCCAGCCCGGUGUCUCCGCUUGCUUACUGGUCGCCGUAGGCUGGCACGGCCCCUCGGCUGA